GUCGGUCCUCCUGAGUCCUCCUCCUCCUCCCCUCCUCCUGUAGACUGUGGGCUGUGUUGGAUGUUGCUGUUCAGUCUGUGUCCUGUGUCUGCUCUCCUCUCCUCUCUCCUCUCCUUUGCCUGUGUCUAUUCCUUCUGCAGAACAACAGCUCCAUCUGAGACUCAGGUUCCUCUGAACAGGACGACCACCAGGGGAAGUGACAGCAGAGAGCAGACUACAGUCAGAUACCUACGCAUCCAUUAAAUCAUCCAGCAUUAUGAGACCGAAACCAUCCAUCAAUACCAGCAGAGUGAGACCCAUUACCAGCCUUCAGAACCAGCAGUGUGAGACCUAUAAAGGUCAUCAAUACCAGCAGAGUGUGAGACCUAUACCAGUCAUCAAUACCAGCAGAGUGAGACCCAUUACCAGCCUUCAGAACCAGCAGUGUGAGACCUAUACCAGCUAUUAAGACCAAUACCAGUCAUCAAUACCAGCAGAGUGUGAGACCUAUACCAUCCAUCAAUACCAGCAGAGUGAGACCGACACCAGCCAUCAAUACCAGCAGAGAUUGAGACCUAUACCAUCCAUCAAUACCAGCAGAGUGAGACCUAUACAAGCUAUCAAUAUCAGCAGAGAUUGAGACCUAUACCAGCCAUCAAUACCAGCAGAGAGUGAGAUCUAUACCAGCCAUCAAUACCAGCAGUGAGACCGAUACCAGCCAUCAAUACCAGCAGAGAGUGAGAUCUAUACCAGCCAUCAAUACCAGCAGAGUAAGACCUAUACCAGACAUCAAUACCAGGAGAGUGUGAGACCUAUACCAUCCAUCAAUACCAGCAGAGUGAGACCUAUACCAGCCAUCAAUACCAGCAGAGAUUGAGACCUAUACCAUCCAUCAAUACCAGCAGAGAGUGAGAUCUAUACCAGCCAUCAAUACCAGCAGUGAGACCGAUACCAUCUGGUUAACCUCCAGAGCUCUGUUUCUCUGGUUAACCUCCAGAGCUCUGUUUCUCUGGUUAACCUCCAGAUCUCUGUUUCUCUGGUUAACCUCCAGAGCUCUGUUUCUCUGGUUAACCUCCAGAGCUCUGUUUCUCUGGUUACCUCCAGAGCUCUGUUUCUCUGGUUAACCUCCAGAGCUCUGUUUCUCUGGUUAACCUCCAGAUCUCUGUUUCUCUGGUUAACCUCCAGAGCUCUGUUUCUCUGGUUACCUCCAGAGCUCUGUUUCUCUGGUUACCUCCAGAGCUCUGUUUCUCUGGUUACCUCCAGAGCUCUGUUUCUCUGGUUACCUCCAGAGCUCUGUUUCUCUGGUUAACCUCCAGAGCUCUGUUUUUGCUUCUCUAAGUAAAUCUAAGGAAGGAAUGGAAUUAAGAAUGAGAGAUCUUUUAACACAAAAUGUCAAGUGUUAACUCCUUAGCUUCUUUUAUCAUGUCAUUUUUAUUUACCAUUUGAAAAUGUCUACAUUUAAUUGGUAUGGAUUUACUAUGUUGGAUUUAGCUAGUGUUAA
Molecule: long non-coding RNA, 1480 nt
Organism: Oncorhynchus mykiss (rainbow trout)
Lineage: Eukaryota; Metazoa; Chordata; Actinopteri; Salmoniformes; Salmonidae
Source: RefSeq, a predicted model, not a curated record